RNAcentral lists this ribosomal RNA (407 nucleotides) under uncultured bacterium. RNAcentral's name for it is "partial 16S ribosomal RNA". It matches the Rfam family "Bacterial small subunit ribosomal RNA", at positions 30 to 526 of the family's 1533-position model. The record is from RNAcentral.
AUUGAACGCUGGCGGCAGGCCUAACACAUGCAAGUCGAGCGGAGCGGCGGACGGGUGAGUAAUGUCUGGGAAACUGCCUGCUGGAUGGGGAUAACUACGCGAUAGCGUAGCUAAUACCGCCUACUAUUGGAGCGGCCGGUCUCGGAGUAGCUAGUGGGUGGGGUAACGGCUCACACAGGCGACGAUCCGUAGCUGGUUUGAGAGGACGACCAGCCACACUGGAACUGAGACACGGCCCAGACUCCUACGGGAGGCAGCAGUGGGGAAUUUGGGACAAUGGGGGAAACCCUGAUGCAGCCAUGCCGCGUGUGCGAUGAAGGCCUUCGGGUUGUAAAGCACUUUUGGCAGGAAAGCGGUACCUGCAGAAUAAGCACCGGCUAACUACGUGCCAGCAGCCGCGGUAAUUC